This 257-nucleotide unclassified non-coding RNA is filed under the name Melitaea cinxia (Glanville fritillary). RNAcentral's name for it is "misc RNA ENSMCXG00005014752.1". Lineage: Eukaryota; Metazoa; Arthropoda; Insecta; Lepidoptera; Nymphalidae. The record is from RNAcentral.
AACAAUUUUCAAAAAAAUACAAAAAACAAUACACCCAAAAAGCACGAGUUAUCUCAAGACCACUUUAACAACUUGAUGGUUUUUAAGUCUAUAAAACAUCAAACAUUCCCUUCAAAGUCUACUCUAGAAAUUCUUUCAAUGUUGGAAAAUCCACAAAUUCAUCCAGUGUUUAACCCAUAUGUCAAGGUGCCACAACUGCACCUGAACGUAGCACGAGCUUUUAAUUUUGCACAUAACCCGAUACAGGCGCCUCUAAU